This 70-nucleotide transfer RNA is filed under the name Alcedo quadribrachys. Its description in RNAcentral is "tRNA-Lys". The record is from RNAcentral. Lineage: Eukaryota; Metazoa; Chordata; Aves; Coraciiformes; Alcedinidae.
CAUUAAGAAGCUAUGCACUUAGCACUAGCCUUUUAAGCUAGAGAAAGGGGACUACUUACCCCCUUAAUGG